RNAcentral lists this ribosomal RNA (206 nucleotides) under uncultured bacterium. RNAcentral describes it as "partial 16S ribosomal RNA". It matches the Rfam family "Bacterial small subunit ribosomal RNA", at positions 568 to 774 of the family's 1533-position model. The record is from RNAcentral.
CUCGUAGGCGGCCAACUAAGUCGGACGUGAAAUCCCCAGGCUCAACCUGGGAACUGCGUCCGAUACUGGAUGGCUUGAAUCCGGGAGAGGGAUGCAGAAUUCCAGGUGUAGCGGUGAAAUGCGUAGAUAUCUGGAGGAAUACCGGUGGCGAAGGCGGCAUCCUGGACCGGCAUUGACGCUGAGGAGCGAAAGCCAGGGAGCAAACG